Molecule: non-coding RNA, 3391 nt
Organism: Phalacrocorax carbo (great cormorant)
Lineage: Eukaryota; Metazoa; Chordata; Aves; Suliformes; Phalacrocoracidae
Source: RefSeq, a predicted model, not a curated record
GCCCGGUACCGGCUGUUUGGCCUAAUGCUGGUCACGCAGCUGGAGUUCUUCAGGAAGCGAUUAGGAACAACGACGCAGAAGAGCUCUGUGGACUGAAAUCUGGUUUAUCGUGGUUUUGUGUCACAGCACACGACAUAACUGCUUUGUUUUUGCCUUUUUUCCUCAGGAUAGCUCCACUCCAGAAGUGGAUAUCGCAAUCCCAUUAUUUUUGAGUAUUUCUGUUAAUACGCUGUUCCUACGCUUCACCAGUGGCCUUGUCAGAACUUCUCUAGCGUGCUUUUGAAACAUCGCCAACGUCUGCUCCGUAAGCUCUGAAACGUUAUUACAUCAUUGAAAUGCAUCCUUGGUGAAGGUUUUAAUACUUUUUAAAAAAAGCUUACAUCUCGGAAGUACUUUAAGUAAGUCAGUGAGAAUGCUGCUAUAUUUAAAUACCUCUUGAAGUGGCAGCCAGGGUACCCAUCCUGCCUUCUUUUUAAUACCAUUUCUGAUCUGCAUAUUUACAUGUGACUCUCCGGGAGUCUUCACUGACUGCUUGUAAACGGCGCGAUGCUGCAGUUGGUGGUAUGUAAAUACUUUUCGAAGUUAUGCUGUAGUUUCAGAAGCAGAAACAAAUGUUGUGGUAUAAUAGAAAUAAUUUAUCUACUCAAAUAUGUAAGUAUGUGCUAAAAAUGAUAAGCAUUGGCUUGGUCUCUCUGAAAACUAACUUUCAGAUGGUCUAUAUUUCAGCUGGAUCACCUACCGUUUCCCUGGAGACACUGAUUUAUUUGACACACACACACCCCCGCCCCCCCCCACCCCCGCCCGGUUCCUCAAUUUGUCAACAGAGGGUGGAACUAAACAGCACACAAUAUCCCUGGAGCACCUAUAAAACCAGUGACAUGAAGUAAAAAGUACUGGAUUAGUCCUGGAUUGUCAGAAAUGGCAAAACGAGACCAAAAUUCCAGCUCUAAUCUAUGUGAAAAUUUAUAAUUUAUAGUAUUUGUAGCUAAGUGGAAGAGGUUUGUUUUAAAUUAAAACCCAAUUCAUUUAGUGGUUUGAUAUGAUUUAAAUUAAGGGUGGUCUUUUCAAUAUCCAGAAAUGAUUCUGAGAACAAACUGGAGCAAGUUUUGGGGAAAAAAAGGAGAGUUUUGUUUUUUUUCUGAAGUGCACAUAGAUAGAAAGUAUAUAUAUGUAGCUCUCCAAGCUAAAUAUAGCUUUCAGAGAUACGAAAAGGUAAACACUAUAUCAUUAUAUACUAAUAAUUACAGUUUUCCUAUUAGUGGUAUUUUUCUUGUUACCACAAGUCCAUAGGUUUAAGCAGAACAUUAAUUUUACUAUACAUCUUACCUUUUGAGGAAUAUCGAUAGUUUUGAUAUAUUUAUGUACUUUAUUUCUAUGGACAGAUAUAAAUACCAAGUGUAGAGCUUUCAAAACCAGCCAGUGUCUUGUUAAUUGGAAGUACUACUUUUAAGAGUAUUUGUUGCAGAAUUUCUUCCGAGCAGCUUUACUUAUCAGAGAGACCUCAGCCAUCUAGGCAUUACAUUUUCAUGUGCCUCUCAGUGCUACCUGUCUGUUAAAAAUGUCAGAUAACUGCUAGUAAAUGCAGUCUCGGAUUCAUUGCUGAGCGUACGUCCUACAUUUUAUCGCAGCUGAGAAAUCUGCUGGGAUCUGUGAGGCAGCUUAUUGUAUACCAGAAAAAGGAUACUCAUGAUAACUUAAGGCCGUGGCAGCUGGUGCUGAACUUGUGUUGCAACUGGAAUUUGCUCUCGGUGCAGCUUUAAACUUUACCCUCUUGUCUUUGGUGUGUGCUAAGAGAUCUUCACACACAGGUGGGAUGUUUGUCAGAGAAGCUGAAGACUUUUUACUGCAGUUCAAAAUAUGAGACUAUACUGAUGAGAAAUGGACUUUGGAAAGUUGUAGUUUAACAAAGGCAGAAAGAAGGAUAUGGGUUGGCCCUUCUAUUGAAGGUGUAUGUUCUACUUUCAAUGUACAGAAUCUUCUAGUGAAUAAUUUUUGGCAAUUCCUUCUGUUUAAUUUUACUACAGUUUUCCUCCAUUGAAUCCCUUUAAAAAGCUGUGCCAGUUGUAUUGCAGUAUUAAUCUUCUACCACAACUAUGUGCAUUCCGUUUGCUUUUCCAGUUCUAUUUUUUGCUUCUUUUUGAAUAUGGGAGCUCACUUUGUUCAAAUAGUGUGAAAAUAUUCACUAUUUGAACUCUCGAGGACCAUAUGAGAGAGUCCUUUCUUACUCCCAUUUAAAACGUGUGCUAGCUGCUCCUGCACAGACUGUUCCCACGGGAAUUUGAUACUGUUGCUGUCCAGAGAGGUACCAGCUUUCCAACUUUGUGCUUAUGGACUCUCUGUACUAUAUGUAUCCUGUAGGAGUAUUACUCUAUAUAGAGCUCUAUAUAUAUCCAGGGUAAAUCUGAACACAGAACAGCAAGUGGAAAAGCCUGCUCACAGUGAAUUUUUUGUGACGUAGAUGUUUCAAGAAAUGUUGAGCUGGAAGCCCAAAAUAAAGCUUCAUUAGAUGGGGUUUCUGAAGAUGUCUAGUCUGAGCCACUGUUUUCACACAUUCCAGACAGCGGGUGGGAAGCUUAUCCUCAGAAUCAGAAAAAGGAGCUGAAAAACUGUAUUUCUGCAUUCGAACUAAGUAUGUUUUCAAAUUUAAUACCAUGCUAAUUGCAGUCUAGCAGUUAACUAGUAAGUACAACCUGUAUCAAGAUGAAAUUUUACACUUCUUCAAGUGAGCUCACUGUGUAUCAACAGGUAGUGAAUCCCCAUUACUUAACACCAGCUUAUUACUUAGGUUAAGCCAUACAUGCAUUUAAGCCUUCAGGGUUAUUUAACUGCUCAGUUAAAUGGUAGGAGAGAGUGCUUUGUGAAACAAACAUUUUAAAAUACUUCCAUUUCUGAGGAUAAUACAUUCUGGUAACUCAGUUUUGAAUAACUUAAAAUUAAAAUCCUGUAACAGGACUGAGAGAUAGAAUCCAGUUCACUGGCUGUUAAUCAGUAAACCAUAAUCUAGAUAUUCUUAAUGCAGCAUUUGUCAGUGUAGUCAGCUUUUUACAGCAGCCAUUUGAAAUUGGAAGCAGGUCAUCAAACACCACCCCUCCAAAACCACACCAUAAUACUCCGGAAAACAUUGUGAACAUGGAUGUUCAGGAAGAACGUACACUAUUAAAAAGACACUGGUUACAGGAUUACUAGAGAGUUUGCAAUUUCAGUUCACAAUCGCAUUUAUGACGUUACAGAAAAAGUUGAAAUAAAAUAGUAGCUUUGUAUUUUCCCAGAGGGUGCACUUUGUACUUCAUAUUCUAAAUGAUGCAAUGUAAAUCCAUUUAUCUGAAUAAAAAUGAGUAAUGUACUGGAGUUUCAUUUCACUUUUUCAAAAAUAAAUGCACAAUGACUUGUA